This 76-nucleotide transfer RNA is filed under the name uncultured phage cr4_1. RNAcentral's name for it is "tRNA-Gln". It matches the Rfam family "tRNA". Rfam says of the family: Transfer RNA (tRNA) molecules are approximately 80 nucleotides in length. Lineage: Duplodnaviria; Heunggongvirae; Uroviricota; Caudoviricetes; Crassvirales; Suoliviridae. The record is from RNAcentral.
UGGGGUGUAACGUAACGGUAGCGUCGGAGAUUCUAAACCUCUAUGUGAGUGGGUUCGAUUCCUACCACCCCUACCA